RNAcentral lists this unclassified non-coding RNA (710 nucleotides) under Wikstroemia indica. RNAcentral's name for it is "partial contains small subunit ribosomal RNA, internal transcribed spacer 1, 5.8S ribosomal RNA, internal transcribed spacer 2, and large subunit ribosomal RNA". The stretch from base 289 to 444 matches the Rfam family "5.8S ribosomal RNA". Lineage: Eukaryota; Viridiplantae; Streptophyta; Magnoliopsida; Malvales; Thymelaeaceae. The record is from RNAcentral.
UUAUCAUUUAGAGGAAGGAGAAGUCGUAACAAGGUUUCCGUAGGUGAACCUGCGGAAGGAUCAUUGUCGAAUCCUGCAAAGCAGAACAACCCGUGAACAUGUUAGCAAAUGUGUUGAGGGGUAAUGGUGUUGGUAGCUCCAUUUCCUCUUGACUGGUCCAUGCGGCCAAGAUAACCAACCCCGGCGCGGAUUGCGCCAAGGAAUUGUGAUAAGUGAAACGUUUGCCCUAUGCAAUCUAACAAAAAAAGAUUGUAUGGGGUCGUGCGUGAUAUGUAUGAUAUAAAGAACGACUCUCGGCAACGGAUAUCUCGGCUCUCGCAUCGAUGAAGAACGUAACGAAAUGGGAUACUUGGUGUGAAUUGCAGAAUCCCGUGAACCAUCGAGUCUUUGAACGCAAGUUGCGCCCCAAGCCUUCGGGUUGAGGGCACGUCUGCCUGGGUGUCACGCAUCGUAACCCCCUACCACCUAUGUUGGUGUGAGGCUGAUAAUGGCUCUCCCGUCCUCAUGGUAGUGCGGUUGGCCUAAAUACAGUAACCCUAAUGUGGUGUAUGCCAUGAUGAGCGGUGGUUUGUCUAGGCUUGCCCUCGUUAAGUCAUCGUGCGCAGCAUGCCAUUAGAUUUGGUUAUCUUUGAACUUUGAUCCUUCAUUCAGAGACUGUGCACAUCGCGACCCCAGGUCAGGCGGGAAUACCCGCUGAGUUUAAGCAUAUC